Molecule: ribosomal RNA, 685 nt
Filed under: uncultured fungus
Lineage: Eukaryota; Fungi
Description: eukaryotic LSU rRNA
Rfam family: Eukaryotic large subunit ribosomal RNA
Source: RNAcentral
CCCGCUGAACUUAAGCAUAUCAAUAAGCGGAGGAAAAGAAACUAACAAGGAUUCCCCUAGUAACUGCGAGUGAACCGGGAAAAGCUCAAAUUUUGAAUCUGGCAGUCCUUGAGGCUGUCCGAGUUGUAAUCUAGAGAAGUGUUUUCCGCGCUGGACCGUGUAUAAGUUUCCUGGAAAGGAACGUCAUAGAGGGUGAAAAUCCCGUCUUUGACACGGACUCCCAGGGCUAUGUGAUGCGCUCUCGACGAGUCGAGUUGUUUGGGAAUGCAGCUCAAAUAGGGUGGUAAAUUCCAUCUAAAGCUAAAUACAGGCGAGAGACCGAUAGCGAACAAGUACCGUGAGGGAAAGAUGAAAAGAACUUUGGAAAGAGAGUUAAACAGUACGUGAAAUUGCUGAAAGGGAAACGCUUGAUGUCAGUCGCGUCGGCCGGGGAUCAGUCUGGCUUUAACUAGCUAGGCGUACUUCCUGGUCGACGGGUCAGCAUCAGUUUUGACCGUCGGAAAAGGGCUUGAGGAAUGUGGCACUCUCUUUACCGGGGGUGUGUUAUAGACUCUUGUCUUGAAUACGAUGGUUGGGACUGAGGAAACCGCAGCACGGCCUAUAUGGUUUUCGGGGCUUAGGCUCACGUUUAGCGUGCUUAGGAUGCUGGCAUAAUGGCCUUAAGCGACCCGUCUUGAAACACCGG